This 516-nucleotide unclassified non-coding RNA is filed under the name uncultured bacterium. RNAcentral describes it as "partial contains 16S-23S ribosomal RNA intergenic spacer and 23S ribosomal RNA". The stretch from base 402 to 516 matches the Rfam family "Bacterial large subunit ribosomal RNA", at positions 1 to 113 of the family's 2925-position model. The record is from RNAcentral.
AGAGUCUUUAUAGACAUAGACAAAUUAUGACUGUUCGCUAUUUCUUCUCCUUUUUCUUCAUUCCAGAUUACAUAGUAUCCGGGCACAACUUAACUACCUGAUGAAUUCAGUCCCGUAGCUCAGUUUGGUUAGAGCACUACACUGAUAAUGUAGGGGUCAGCAGUUCAAAUCUGCUCGGGACUACGAUGAUAAUCUGGGGAAUUAGCUCAGCUGGCUAGAGCACCUGCCUUGCACGCAGGGGGUCAACGGUUCGAAUCCGUUAUUCUCCACAUCGUCCACCGAAAGGUGGGCAUUGUCCUCCGAAGUUUUAACGAAGGAGGGCAAAAACACUCGAUUGAGCGAAAGCAAAAGAGAGUACAAGUUCUUUGACAUAUUGAAAGUAAGAGAUUACAAGACAAUUAGGAUAAGUUACUAAGGGCGUAUGGAGGAUGCCUAGGAUCUUGAAGGCGAUGAAGGACGUGUUAAGCUGCGAUAAGCUUCGGGGAGGUGCCAAAAAACCGUUAUAUCCGAGGAUUU